RNAcentral lists this unclassified non-coding RNA (372 nucleotides) under Hevea brasiliensis (rubber tree). The record is from RNAcentral. Lineage: Eukaryota; Viridiplantae; Streptophyta; Magnoliopsida; Malpighiales; Euphorbiaceae.
UCUUGGGAGCUUGCUGAACAUGCUAUUGUGGCAGUUGGUGAGUGGAUAACUUGGGCACUCACAUACUUGUUUGUUAGGUGCAUCUUGAGGAUGUACGGUUUCAGAAACUUUGUAACUCUUGGUGGCCACUUAACUGGUGGUGGAAUAACCAUCUCUAUCUGUCUGCAACCUUACCCAACUAGCGUGGAUAGAAAAAUCAACUGCUUAAUAGGAUCUAAAAAUGUGCAAAAUCAUGCCAAGCUUUUUCUUGUCUCCUCAAGAGCUUUAACUUUUAUUAGUUCCGGGGUCAGCUUUUCUUUGAGAGGAAGGCCGGAGAAGAAACAACGAGCAGGCGUGGCUACACCGCUUCUAACUGGUCAUUGCGAUUUAGAG